This is a non-coding RNA of Salmo salar (Atlantic salmon), 546 nucleotides long. NCBI's taxonomy places the organism in Eukaryota, Metazoa, Chordata, Actinopteri, Salmoniformes, Salmonidae. The record is from RefSeq and is a predicted model, not a curated record.
CUCAGCCCCAGAGGACCAACCUGGACACCCAACAGGACCAGCGAUCUACCCAGGGCCAGGCUCCUGAUGCUGGGUAUACACAUCUGCAGCAAGGUGGCGCUAACAUCUAUGAUACAAUCACUCCCUCAGAUAAUAAUGACAGUGGUACUGUACACUUUGUGAAAUUUAGCAUGAAUACAGUAUAGAGUUGUUGUUGCCGUUGUUCUUCAUAUGGUUAAUUUUACUAACAUACGUAAGUAGAGAUAUUAGUGUAUUACCUGUAUAUUUCAGAUGCUGAUGCUGCUGGAUCAAGUGAUGUGACACGCCCAGAUUCAAGUCAAAAAGUUGGACAAGAAAAAGAAAAAAAUGCAAGCUGAUCCAAAAGAAAAUCCAGUCUAUUCUGAGGUCAUGACAGGGAAGACCACAGCAGCAACUGGACUUGUUCAUGUGACCUAUCCUGAGGUUGACCUUAAACAGAAGGCCAACGCCAAGAAGAAGAAAGAAAUAUCCACCCCACCUGAGGCAGAUUCAGUCUAUUCUCAAGUGAAGCCAGGCACAUCCCCAGGU